Octodon degus (degu) is the source of this 92-nucleotide microRNA precursor. The record is from Ensembl. NCBI's taxonomy places the organism in Eukaryota, Metazoa, Chordata, Mammalia, Rodentia, Octodontidae.
UGUACCACCUUGUCGGGUAGCUUAUCAGACUGAUGUUGACUGUUGAAUCUCAUGGCAACAGCAGUCGAUGGGCUGUCUGACAUUCUGGUAUC